GCCUGGCUAGCUCAGUCGGUAGAGCAUGAGACUCUUAAUCUCAGGGUCGUGGGUUAGAGCCCCCUGUUGGGCG
This 73-nucleotide transfer RNA is filed under the name Danionella translucida. It matches the Rfam family "tRNA". From Rfam's summary of the family: Transfer RNA (tRNA) molecules are approximately 80 nucleotides in length. Their secondary structure includes four short double-helical elements and three loops (D, anti-codon, and T loops). Lineage: Eukaryota; Metazoa; Chordata; Actinopteri; Cypriniformes; Danionidae. RNAcentral also lists the same sequence under 1 other name. The record is from Rfam by way of RNAcentral.